Molecule: long non-coding RNA, 744 nt
Filed under: Homo sapiens (human)
Lineage: Eukaryota; Metazoa; Chordata; Mammalia; Primates; Hominidae
Description: HSALNT0036880
Source: RNAcentral
CUUUUUCCUAAUCAUGCAUCAUAAAAGUUGUACAGCACGAGGGUCAAGAAAUUUCCUCAGUGAUGACAUCAGCCCUGCUAGAUCUCAGGAGCUGUGCUUGCAUGAAAGGGAAAUGAGGAACUCAGGUCUGCUAUCAAUAAUAUCUAUGAUGUCCACUAUGAGACCACAGGACCAGCUGAAACCCGCCAGAACCAAUAUGACCGACUGGAGCUCGCGCAAGGAUUUGCCGGGCCACGGGGUGAUCUUUUGACGUCACCGUCUGAACUUCCGCCCCAAGUUUCAUACUAACUCCCCCUAAAUUUUCACAUGCCACCCAUGAAGAGGCAACUGCACAUGGGCAAGGGACUUUCCAAACAUCCCCGUUCCCUGGCCAAUCACUAAUCUACCCUGAAACACUUUCCUCCAAAUCCUUCUUUUACAAAUAUGGCUUUCAAGCCAGUACAAGGAAGACAGUUUUGAGCCCAUCUCCUGUCACGUUGCUUGGCCGUUUUGCAAUAAACCUUUCUCUCUACAAAAAUCCCAGGCUUCAUGUUUACCUUUCCAUUGCUCACGGGUAAAUGGACCUGGUUUGGUUCUAUAACAAUCGUUUGGAUGAGAGAUUUGGUAAUGACAGGAAAGGAACUAGACUAAUCAUAAAAAGGAGUGGCAGAGUUGGGACAAUCACUGGAAGUCAGCAAAAAUAUUAGGGGAAAAUCAGUUGAUGUGGGGGGAAACUUAGGCGGAAAUCAGAUGAUAGCCUGCCAU